This 883-nucleotide ribosomal RNA is filed under the name Sphingobacteriia bacterium SKA50. RNAcentral's name for it is "bacterial SSU rRNA". It matches the Rfam family "Bacterial small subunit ribosomal RNA", at positions 9 to 886 of the family's 1533-position model. The record is from RNAcentral. Lineage: Bacteria; Pseudomonadati; Bacteroidota; Sphingobacteriia.
GAGUUUGAUCAUGGCUCAGGAUGAACGCUAGCGGCAGSCCUAACACAUGCAAGUCGAACGGUAACAGGGAAAAGCUUGCUUUUCCGCUGACGAGUGGCGCACGGGUGCGUAACGCGUAUACAAUCUACCUCUUACAGGGGGAUAGCCUUUAGAAAUGAAGAUUAAUACCCCAUGGCAUUAUAAACCGGCAUCGGUUUAUAAUUAAAGUUUCGGCGGUAGGAGAUGAGUAUGCGUUCUAUUAGCUAGUAGGUGUGGUAACGGCACACCUAGGCAACGAUAGAUAGGGGCCCUGAGAGGGGGAUCCCCCACACUGGUACUGAGACACGGACCAGACUCCUACGGGAGGCAGCAGUGAGGAAUAUUGGACAAUGGGCGGAAGCCUGAUCCAGCCAUGCCGCGUGCAGGAAGACUGCCCUAUGGGUUGUAAACUGCUUUUGUACAGGAAGAAACCUUUCCACGUGUGGAGAGCUGACGGUACUGUAAGAAUAAGCAUCGGCUAACUCCGUGCCAGCAGCCGCGGUAAUACGGAGGAUGCAAGCGUUAUCCGGAAUCAUUGGGUUUAAAGGGUCCGUAGGUGGAUUGGUCAGUCAGAGGUGAAAUCCUGCAGCUCAACUGUAGAACUGCCUUUGAUACUGCCGGUCUUGAAUUAUUGUGAAGUGGUUAGAAUAUGUAGUGUAGCGGUGAAAUGCAUAGAUAUUACAUAGAAUACCGAUUGCGAAGGCAGAUCACUAACAAUAUAUUGACACUGAUGGACGAAAGCGUGGGGAGCGAACGGGAUUAGAUACCCCGGUAGUCCACGCCGUAAACGAUGGUCACUAGCUGUUCGGACUUCGGUCUGAGUGGCUAAGCGAAAGUGAUAAGUGACCCACUUGGGGAGUACGUU